AAAGGAAUGGCUCAGUUGGUAGAGCGCGACCUUGCCGAGGUCGGGGCUGGGCGGGUAGCCUCGCGAGUUCGAGUCUCGUUUCCCGCUCCA
This 90-nucleotide transfer RNA is filed under the name Halopseudomonas aestusnigri. RNAcentral describes it as "tRNA-Gly". The stretch from base 4 to 83 matches the Rfam family "tRNA". From Rfam's summary of the family: Transfer RNA (tRNA) molecules are approximately 80 nucleotides in length. Their secondary structure includes four short double-helical elements and three loops (D, anti-codon, and T loops). The record is from RNAcentral. RNAcentral also lists the same sequence under 2 other names. Lineage: Bacteria; Pseudomonadati; Pseudomonadota; Gammaproteobacteria; Pseudomonadales; Pseudomonadaceae.